UACGGAAGGCAGCAGGGGGAAUAUUGCACAAUGGGCGCAAGCCUGAUGCAGCCAUGCCGCGUGUAUGAAAAAGGCCUUCGGGUUGUAAAGUACUUUCAGUCGUGAGGAAGGUGUUAAGGUUAAUAACCUUAGCAAUUGACGUUAGCGACAGAAGAAGCACCGGCUAACUCCGUGCCAGCAGCCGCGGUAAUACGGAGGGUGCGAGCGUUAAUCGGAAUUACUGGGCGUAAAGGGCACGCAGGCGGUUAAUUAAGUUGGAUGUGAAAUCCCCGGGCUUAACCUGGGAAUGGCAUUCAAGCUGGUUAGCUAGAGUCUUGUAGAGGGGGUAGAAUUCCAUGUGUAGCGGUGAAAUGCGUAGAGAUGUGGAGGAAUACCGGUGGCGAAGGCGGCCCCUGGACAAAGACUGACGCUCAUGUGCGAAAGCGUGGGGAGCAAACAGGGAUUAGAU
RNAcentral lists this ribosomal RNA (448 nucleotides) under uncultured bacterium. RNAcentral's name for it is "bacterial SSU rRNA". It matches the Rfam family "Bacterial small subunit ribosomal RNA", at positions 340 to 783 of the family's 1533-position model. The record is from RNAcentral.